CAGCAGUCGCCGCGGGAAUACGUAGGUGGCAAGCGUUGUCCGGAAUUAUUGGGCGUAAAGGGCUCGCAGGCGGCUUCUUAAGUCUGAUGCGAAAGCCCCCGGCUCAACCGGGGAGGGUCAUUGGAAACUGGGAAACUUGAGUGCAGAAGAGGAGAGUGGAAUUCCACGUGUAGCGGUGAAAUGCGUAGAGAUGUGGAGGAACACCAGUGGCGAAGGCGACUCUCUGGUCUGUAACUGACGCUGAGGAGCGAAAGCGUGGGGAGCGAACAGGAUUAGAGACCCCGGUAGUCCCUGUCUCUUAUAA
Molecule: ribosomal RNA, 304 nt
Filed under: uncultured bacterium
Lineage: Bacteria
Description: partial 16S ribosomal RNA
Rfam family: Bacterial small subunit ribosomal RNA
Source: RNAcentral